Molecule: ribosomal RNA, 484 nt
Filed under: uncultured bacterium
Lineage: Bacteria
Description: partial 16S ribosomal RNA
Rfam family: Bacterial small subunit ribosomal RNA
Source: RNAcentral
AUUGAACGCUGGCGGCAGGCCUAACACAUGCCAGUCGAGCGGAUGAAGGGAGCUUGCUCCUGGAUUCAGCGGCGGACGGGUGAGUAAUGCCUAGGAAUCUGCCUGGUAGUGGGGGAUAACGUCCGGAAACGGGCGCUAAUACCGCAUACGUCCUGAGGGAGAAAGUGGGGGAUCUUCGGACCUCACGCUAUCAGAUGAGCCUAGGUCGGAUUAGCUAGUUGGUGGGGUAAAGACCUACCAAGGCGACGAUCCGUAACUGGUCUGAGAGGAUGAUCAGUCACACUGGAACUGAGACACGGUCCAGACUCCUACGGGAGGCAGCAGUGGGGAAUAUUGGACAAUGGGCGAAAGCCUGAUCCAGCCAUGCCGCGUGUGUGAAGAAGGUCUUCGGAUUGUAAAGCACUUUAAGUUGGGAGGAAGGGCAGUAAGUUAAUACCUUGCUGUUUUGACGUUACCAACAGAAUAAGCACCGGCUAACUUCGUG